Molecule: non-coding RNA, 210 nt
Organism: Jatropha curcas
Lineage: Eukaryota; Viridiplantae; Streptophyta; Magnoliopsida; Malpighiales; Euphorbiaceae
Source: RefSeq, a predicted model, not a curated record
CUUAAAUCGCCCGGGUCCAUCUAGUGCUCCUCCAGGACAGAAUCAAAGCUAGAACUUCGCUCUCCAUCGCAGUACUAGGAAGCAGCUGAUUCAACUGAAGCUCUGCAAAUCUUCUCCGCAGAGUUACAAAUGUAAACUUUAUAUUGUUGAUAUUUAAUUUUGAAUGUAUAAAUUAUUCUGUUAUCAGAUUUUUUUUGGACUCCGCAGUUA